This 1522-nucleotide ribosomal RNA is filed under the name human gut metagenome. RNAcentral describes it as "bacterial LSU rRNA". It matches the Rfam family "Bacterial large subunit ribosomal RNA", at positions 1391 to 2925 of the family's 2925-position model. The record is from RNAcentral.
CUAAGCCGAGGCCGAAAGGCGUAGGUGAUGGACAACAGGUUGAUAUUCCUGUACCACCAAUAACCGUUUGAGAAAUGGGAUGACACAGUAGGAUAAGCUAACCGCACUGUUGGUUAUGUGCGGGCAAGUAUUGAGGCAGUUCCGAUAGGCAAAUCCGUCGGAAUAAUGCUGGGGUACGAUGCGGAGCGAAAUUAAGUAGCGAAGUAGCUGAUUUCACACUGUCGAGAAAAGUCUCUAUCGAGGUUAAAGGUGCCUGUACCGCAAACCGACACAGGUGGGUGAGGAGAGUAUCCUAAGGCCAGCGAGAGAACUGUUGUUAAGGAACUCGGCAAAAUGACCCCGUAACUUAGGGAUAAGGGGUGCCACCAUCAGGUGGCCGCAGAGAAUAGGCCCAAGCGACUGUUUACCAAAAACAUAGGUUUCUGCUAAGUCGCAAGACGAUGUAUAGGAGCUGACGCCUGCCCGGUGCUGGAAGGUUAAGGGGAUCUGUUAGAGCAAUCGAAGCAGUGAACUUAAGCCCCAGUAAACGGCGGCCGUAACUAUAACGGUCCUAAGGUAGCGAAAUUCCUUGUCGGGUAAGUUCCGACCCGCACGAAAGGCGUAACGAUUUGGGCACUGUCUCAACAACAGACUCGGUGAAAUUGUAAUUCCGGUGAAGAUGCCGGAUACCUGCGACAGGACGGAAAGACCCCAUGGAGCUUUACUGUAGCUUGACAUUGGGUCUUGGUACUACAUGUACAGGAUAGGUGGGAGGCUUUGAAACCAGGACGCCAGUUUUGGCGGAGCCAUCCUUGGGAUACCACCCUUGUAGUACUGGGACUCUAACCAUAGGCCAUGAAUCUGGUCUUGGGACACUGUCAGGUGGGCAGUUUGACUGGGGCGGUCGCCUCCCAAAAGGUAACGGAGGCGCUCAAAGGUUCUCUCAGUACGGUCGGAAAUCGUACGUAGAGUGUAAAGGCAAAAGAGAGCUUGAUUGCAAGACAUACAGGUCGAGCAAGGACGAAAGUCGGACUUAGUGAUCCGGUGGUUCCGCAUGGAAGGGCCAUCGCUCAACGGAUAAAAGCUACCCUGGGGAUAACAGGCUUAUCUCCCCCAAGAGUCCACAUCGACGGGGAGGUUUGGCACCUCGAUGUCGGCUCAUCACAUCCUGGGGCUGUAGUAGGUCCCAAGGGUUGGGCUGUUCGCCCAUUAAAGUGGUACGCGAGCUGGGUUCAGAACGUCGUGAGACAGUUCGGUCCCUAUCCGUCGCAGGCGUAGGAAAUUUGAGAAGACCUGUCCUUAGUACGAGAGGACCGGGAUGGACGUACCUCUGGUGUACCAGUUGUUCUGCCAAGGGCAUGGCUGGGUAGCUAUGUACGGAAUGGAUAAGCGCUGAAAGCAUCUAAGCGCGAAGCCAACUUCAAGAUAAGAUUUCCCACCGCAAGGGUAAGACCCCAGAAAGACUAUCUGGUUGAUAGGUCGAAGGUGUAAGUGCAGCAAUGUAUUUAGCUUAUCGAUACUAAUAGGUCGAGGACUUGACCAA